Molecule: ribosomal RNA, 253 nt
Filed under: uncultured bacterium
Lineage: Bacteria
Description: partial 16S ribosomal RNA
Rfam family: Bacterial small subunit ribosomal RNA
Source: RNAcentral
GACAGAGGGUGCAAACGUUGCUCGGAAUCACUGGGCGUAAAGGGCGUGUAGGCGGGAAGGAAAGUCAGAUGUGAAAGCCCUGGGCUCAACCCAGGAACUGCAUUUGAAACUCCCUUUCUUGAGUGUCGGAGAGGAAAGCGGAAUUCCUGGUGUAGAGGUGAAAUUCGUAGAUAUUAGGAAGAACACCAGUGGCGAAGGCGGCUCACUGGCCCGGUACUGACGCUGAGGCGCGAAAGCGUGGGGAGCGAACAGG